GUAUGUGCCGCAACGAUAGCGUCAGCCUGGGAGCGCAGCCGAAGCGUGCGGCCCCAAGGAGCCCGGCCCUCUUAGGAGAUGCCAACUAAGAGACAACGGCCUGGUAACGGCUGGAACUUCCCAGAUGGCGAGGUGGCCUUCUUUCACACCUGAUGCAGAUUUGCAUCCCCGGACAGCCGAGAGACGCAGAUCGAUUAUAUCUGUGGCGGAGCGCUCCAUACCAGGUGGUAAAGCCGGAUCUUAGCAGUCAGUGUCGAGUGAGCGAGGCGGUCCACUUGCAUUACGCCGAACCCCCUCGCAGAACGGCCGACGGACCCGGCUCGCCGCCCUCGUGACCCCUCCGCAAGUAUCGCAAAGCUCUGCGAUGAAGCCCUGACCUUUUCCAGGUAUAGCCUGCGACGGUGGCAUCAGCCUCGGAGCACGGCCGAAGCGUGCAGCGUGAGGUCCCCUGCCAUCUUAGGAGAUGCUGACUAAGAGACAACAGCCCGGCGACGGCAGGAGCUUCCCGGACGGUGAGCGGCCUUCUUUUGCACCCGAGGAGGAUUCGCAU
Long non-coding RNA from Corvus hawaiiensis (hawaiian crow), 550 nucleotides. RefSeq lists it as uncharacterized. The record is from RefSeq and is a predicted model, not a curated record. NCBI's taxonomy places the organism in Eukaryota, Metazoa, Chordata, Aves, Passeriformes, Corvidae. The transcript has 7 exons.